CCUACGAGGCUGCAGGGGGGAAGAUGGGGCAAGGGAGGAAACGCUGAACCAGCAACGCCGCGGGAAGGAUGAAGGUAUUCGGAUUGUAAAGAUCUUUUAUAAGGGAAGAAGAAAGUGACGGUACCUUAGGAAUAAGCCUCGGCUAACUACGUGCCAGCAGCCGCGGUAAUACGUAGGAGGCGAGCGUUAUCCGGAAUGACUGGGCGUAAAGGGUGCGUAGGUGGUUUGGCAAGUUAGUAGCGUAACUCCAAGGCUCAACCUUGGAACUACUACUAAAACUGUUGGACUUGAGGGCAGGAGGGGCAACCGGAAGUCCUAGUGUAGCGGUGGAAUGCGUAGAUAUUAGGAGGAACACCAGUGGCGAAGGCGGGUUGCUAGACUGUAACUGACACUGAGGCACGAAAGCGUGGGGAGCAAACAGGAUUAGAUACCCUUGUAGUC
Molecule: ribosomal RNA, 441 nt
Filed under: uncultured bacterium
Lineage: Bacteria
Description: partial 16S ribosomal RNA
Rfam family: Bacterial small subunit ribosomal RNA
Source: RNAcentral